UACCCCUGACUGCAGCCCGCAGACGGAGCCCACAUGGAGGGGGCGGGCACUCAGUCCACAUGGAGGGGGCUGGCACUCCGCCCACAUGGAGGGGGCGGGCACUCAGUCCACAUGGAGGGGGCGGCCACUCAGUUCACAUUGAGGACUGGUCAAACAGCAUUUCUGAUCCCGUUUCUGACCUGAAAUUAGCUGAAAUGUACCUGAAAUUACCUGAAAUUAGAGUGUGCCCGCCCGAGCGAGUGAUGCCUAAAACAUGCAAGUAAGUGAGACUGUCAAAAUGCUUAAUAUAUUUAGUAAUAUUCAUGCAAUUGUGUAUUAUGUCUUGUUAACUACUUAAUCGUCAAAUCCCGCCGGCGAGAAAGUUUUAGUUACACCUAGCAUGUUCCCCCGAACAUGCUAGGUCAAUUUUCAGCAUCAUAAGGUUGAGUGAUAUAGUCAUGUCAUACACCGUUUGAAAGCUUAGAAUCUCAGGAAUGUCAACCAAUGUCAACCAUUCGGUGUAAUAAAUAUGUUUAGUGAAUAUAGAUCAAAUAUAUCCUAGUGUCUCAGGUCAAAAUAGCCCCCCUCACCCUCCCCCACCCUUGGUGCAUUCUUACUUUAUCGUCGUUGUGGAUAUCCUUAGCAAUGAGUUGAUACUUCAUGUUGGGUCUUGAAAUGUUCAUAAGAGUCCACAGAAAUAGAAUAUCAAUAUUAUUUUAGUCUAAUUACAUUGUGUAUAUGCACAAGCCAUCUUAUACAAAGCAGCCGAAAAAAAGAAAACCGAAACGCUGCAAUGUUUUUUUGUAGAAAACUGCUUUUAUGUUUAUACUGGUUUUCUUUGACUUUUAGAGACACCAUCAAUAUACAAGUUAUAGCCUACUCCAUGGCUGAUCUAUUGCACUACUAGGGCCUACUUUUAUUAUUCCAUUGUAUUAGCCUACUCAACAUUACAGACAACAAUCUGUUUUAUUUCCAGACAAAACUGAAGACCAGGAACUGGAACCUGGGAACCUGGAAGAUGAUGUUGUCCUGAAGAACACAAUUCAGGCAGCAGCAUGGUGCCAGUUACAGUCUUUCAAGGACAGUGUUUCUCUCCCAGAGGUCAUUGGGAUGGAAGGUUGGGAGCAGAUGGCAGCAUCAACACAGCGCAAAUCCCAUGACGGGGGGGAUGAGGAAGAAACGUGGAAACCAUUCCAAUUCUCAUUCAGAUUACAUACUGACUAUGAACUGUUCUGUGUGGAGAUGAUGGACAGGAGAAACCUGAAGGUGUUUGCCUCUUUUGAGUCAAACACCUCUCCCCCUCCCCGUCCCCCCUCCCCGUGACGCCUGCGCCACACGACUCCAGUAGUCUGAUGAUGCAGCAUAAUGGCGGCGCUUGGCAGCUAUGGCGGCGGUGACGGCGAUGUCGGGCGACAGAGCGUGAAGCGAGAGUGGCGUCCAACUCACUGAGGAAGGCGUCAGUGUGUUCCCCCCCGUUGAGACUUUGUUUGUUCUACUCUUUAUUGAUAUAUCUUUUAUGUUAAUAGUUUACAAUCUAUUUUUUGUAGUUGUUAUUUUUUAAUCGUUUUGUUGAAUAAAAAGACUGUUGUUAGUGCUCCUGUGA
Long non-coding RNA from Gadus macrocephalus (Pacific cod), 1582 nucleotides. RefSeq lists it as uncharacterized. The record is from RefSeq and is a predicted model, not a curated record. NCBI's taxonomy places the organism in Eukaryota, Metazoa, Chordata, Actinopteri, Gadiformes, Gadidae. The transcript has 2 exons.